GUGGAUUAGAUACCCUGGUAGUCCACGCUGUAAACGAUGAUUACUCGAUGUUGGCGAUAAACUGUCAGCGUCUUAGCGAAAGCGUUAAGUAAUCCACCUGGGGAGUACGCCCGCAAGGGUGAAACUCAAAGGAAUUGACGGGGGCCCGCACAAGCGGUGGAGCAUGUUGUUUAAUUCGAUGAUACGCGAGGAACCUUACCUAGGCUAGAAUGCGCGUGACCGGUCCAGAGAUGGACCUUUCCUUCGGGACACAAAGCAAGGUGCUGCACGGUCGUCGCCAACU
RNAcentral lists this ribosomal RNA (283 nucleotides) under uncultured bacterium. RNAcentral describes it as "partial 16S ribosomal RNA". It matches the Rfam family "Bacterial small subunit ribosomal RNA", at positions 773 to 1060 of the family's 1533-position model. The record is from RNAcentral.